This 241-nucleotide long non-coding RNA is filed under the name Elaeis guineensis (African oil palm). RNAcentral's name for it is "long non-coding RNA (EGUI_LNC009905)". Lineage: Eukaryota; Viridiplantae; Streptophyta; Magnoliopsida; Arecales; Arecaceae. The record is from RNAcentral.
ACAGCAACUUCAUUUUGGAGGCCAUUGUCCCAAGGAGAGGAGGAAAAUCGAUCAAGAGGAAAGAGAGGGAUCAGAGAUGAAUGAAAAUGAAGAGGAGAAGAGGGUUUAGGAGUGUUUCUCAUAGAUUUUGCAGGUUAGAGCUUGAAAUUUGGUGAAAAUUAUGAGGGCAACCCAUGAGAGAGAGAGAUAGCUUAAGAAUUUAGGAUGAUGAUCCAAGGUUUUGUGAGAUUUUGAGGUUGGU